GUAGGUGGCAAGCGUUGUCCGGAAUUAUUGGGCGUAAAGCGCGCGCAGGCGGUUCUUUAAGUCUGAUGUGAAAGCCCACGGCUCAACCGUGGAGGGUCAUUGGAAACUGGAGAACUUGAGUACAGAAGAGGAAAGCGGAAUUCCACGUGUAGCGGUGAAAUGCGUAGAGAUGUGGAGGAACACCAGUGGCGAAGGCGGCUUUCUGGUCUGUAACUGACGCUGAGGCGCGAAAGCGUGGGGGAGCAAACGGGAUUAGAUACCCUGGUAGUCCACGCCGUAAACGAUGAGUGCUAAGUGUUAGGGGGUUUCCGCCCCCCUUAGUGCUGCAGCUAACGCAUUAAGCACUCCGCCUGGGAGUACGGCCGCAAGGCUG
Molecule: ribosomal RNA, 373 nt
Filed under: uncultured organism
Description: partial 16S ribosomal RNA
Rfam family: Bacterial small subunit ribosomal RNA
Source: RNAcentral